RNAcentral lists this ribosomal RNA (528 nucleotides) under uncultured bacterium. Its description in RNAcentral is "bacterial SSU rRNA". It matches the Rfam family "Bacterial small subunit ribosomal RNA", at positions 355 to 897 of the family's 1533-position model. The record is from RNAcentral.
CAAGGAAUCUUCCGCAAUGGGCGAAAGCCUGACGGAGCAACGCCGCGUGUGGGAUGACGCCUUUCGGGGUGUAAACCACUUUUCUCAGGGAAGAAAUCUUGACGGUACCUGAGGAAUAAGGACCGGCUAACUACGUGCCAGCAGCCGCGGUAAUACGUAGGGUCCGAGCGUUGUCCGGAGUUACUGGGCGUAAAGCGCGCGCAGGCGGCGGUAUAAGCAUGGCGUGAAAGCCUCAGGCUUAACCUGGGAGGGUCGUCGUGGACUGUACCGCUUGAGGGCGGUAGGGGCUGGUGGAAUGCCUGGUGUAGUGGUGAAAUGCGUAGAGAUCAGGCGGAACACCCGUGGCGAAGGCGGCCAGCUGGGCCGUCCCUGACGCUGAGGCGCGAAGGCGUGGGGAGCGAACGGGAUUAGAUACCCCGGUAGUCCACGCAGUAAACGAUGCAGACUAGGCGUGGGGGGAGUUGACCCCCUCCGUGCCGGAGCCAACGCGGGAAGUCUGCCGCCUGGGGAGUACGGCCGCAAGGCUAA